UACAGAGGUCCCAAGCGUUGUUCGGAUUCACUGGGCGUAAAGGGUGCGUAGGCGGUCGGGUAAGUCUGAUGUGAAAUCUCACAGCUUAACUGUGAAACUGCAUUGGAUACUAUUCGGCUUGAGAGUUGGAGGGGGGACUGGAAUUCUUGGUGUAGCAGUGAAAUGCGUAGAUAUGCGGAGGAACACCGAUGGCGAAGGCAAUCCCCUGGGCCUGCACUGACGCUCAUGCACGAAAGCGUGGGGAGCAAACAGG
RNAcentral lists this ribosomal RNA (253 nucleotides) under uncultured bacterium. RNAcentral's name for it is "partial 16S ribosomal RNA". It matches the Rfam family "Bacterial small subunit ribosomal RNA", at positions 524 to 776 of the family's 1533-position model. The record is from RNAcentral. RNAcentral also lists the same sequence under 1 other name.